CGAAUUCGCCCUUCGGGGUGCAGCAGGCGCGAAAACUUUACAAUGCGGGAAACCGUGAUAAGGGGACACCGAGUGUCAGCAUCAUAUGCUGGCUGUCCAGGUGUGUAAAAUACACCUGUUAGCAAGGGCCGGGCAAGACCGGUGCCAGCCGCCGCGGUAACACCGGCGGCCCGAGUGGUGAUCGUGAUUAUUGGGUCUAAAGGGUCCGUAGCCGGUUUGGUCAGUCCUCCGGGAAAUCUGAUAGCUCAACUAUUAGGCUAUCGGGGGAUACUACCAGACUUGGAACCGGGAGAGGUAAGAGGUACUACAGGGGUAGGAGUGAAAUCUUGUAAUCCCUGUGGGACCGCCUGUGGCGAAGGCGUCUUACCAGAACGGGUUCGACGGUGAGGGACGAAAGCUGGGGGCACGAACCGGAUUAGAUACCCGGGUAGUCCCAGCCGUAAACGAUGCUCGCUAGGUGUCAGGCAUGGCGCGACCGUGUCUGGUGCCGCAGGGAAGCCGUGAAGCGAGCCACCUGGGAAGUACGGCCGCAAGGCUGAAACUUAAAGGAAUUGGCGGGGGAGCAC
This 566-nucleotide ribosomal RNA is filed under the name uncultured archaeon. Its description in RNAcentral is "bacterial SSU rRNA". It matches the Rfam family "Archaeal small subunit ribosomal RNA", at positions 313 to 879 of the family's 1478-position model. The record is from RNAcentral.